GUUUCAGUGGGACACAGGGGAAGAACAAGACCUCAGGAGCUAAACAGGAGGCGAAGAGGCCUGCUGUUAACAGUGGGCUUUCCCUGUGAUCGGCCACCAUCGGCGCGCACGCUCCUGCAGGAUCCCAACGGAGAGCACGCGUCGACACCUCCACCCUUCAGCUGGAAACCUUUCGGUGGUCUCCCCAGACAGCCAUCAUCCGGGAGUAGCAGCAGGCGGAAGGGGCUCUUCGGGGAGAAACAUACCUGUGCAGCCAGAUCAGUCUAUGAUGUUUCAGCACACCCCACUUAAGGCUUGUGCUGUGACAGCAGAUCCUGCUCAGUCUGAGACUGGCUCUGAGGCUUCCUGUAUGCGGCAGGUCCUGAGUUCUGGGGAGAAGCCCAGACGAACCUGAGAGAGAUGCCAAGAACCUAAGAGGGGCAUUGAUGCUUGACCCGUCCAUCGCCUUCCUAGGACCUGCCUUAGGCCUCUCGCAUCUUCCAGGAGAAGCCUCGUAGCAUCUGGUACCCCCCUUCACCUCCUUACAGAGGAUGCUGCAGGCUUAGGAGCCCCAGCUCUGGAAGCUUUAGAUCCUGACAACUGCAGAUCCUUCUGCCUUCCUCGUGGAUGUGUCUGUUGAACACUCAAAACUCCAUAGACUUUUUCCACAUCUGGCCAGAAACACUUCCCUCUUUUUUGUACACUUACAGAGGAGAACAUACUUCCACUCCAGGGGACCUCAGGCCAGCACCUGUGGGAACCAGAGACAGUCCUGAGUUUGAAUCUAGUCCCAUGCUGUGUGACCUUGGGAGAUUACUUAGUUUCUCUGAGCUCCGGGUCCCUUGUUCGCAUGAGGGGAAUAAUAAUGCCAAACUCAGAAGAUUAUUGCAAGGACUAAAUGAGUCCGUGUUUGCCAGGUGCUUAGCAGUGUCUGACACAUAAUGCCUGUGCAAACAAUGCCAGCUAUCAUUAUUAGCGAAGUUUCUCUAAAUGCGCCUUAAGUGGACCGCACUCAAAGCUGUGGGCAGCUAUCUGCCCUGUUAACUGUAGGCCCUGAGGCUAUAAUUGUGAGUGAAACCGACAUACCCCUGCCUGCAAGGAGCUUAGUGUUCAGUAGAUGAGACUGGCAUUGAAACAGACAAUUAAAAUACUGCAUGAGGUCUUCCCUGGUGGCGCGGUGGUUAAGAAUCCACCUGCCAAUGCAGGGGACACGGGUUUGAUCCCUGGUGCAGGAAGAUCCCACCAAAAAAAAAAAUACAGCAUGAGAAGUAAUAUGGGUGGAGGUGGCAGGUGGUUCUCACUGAUCAUAGGAUGAGAAUAUAGGAGGAGCCUCUAAUCCAGUCUAAGAUCUGGUACCAGCCCUCCCCAGGCUGAGCCGAGCCUCUAGAAGCUGACCAGGACAGGAAAAGCUAAGGGGUAAAGGCAGUGUUGGAAGCCUUCUGUUUAUAGAUGAGCAAUCAUUUGUAAACUCUCCAAACCCCUUCAACUCUGGGCAACCCCAGCAAGGAAAAGCCUUCCACUCCCAGGAUGUCACUUUGUCCUUUAAAAAUUGUACGUGAUCAACCUGAUUUCUCUCGGCAAUUGUUUAUAAUACUUGUCCAAUGUCUUUCUUCCUUGCUGGAAUGGGCGCUGCCUACAGGCAGAGCUCAGGGCCGUCAGUUACUUCCAUAGCACUCAGCACAGGGUCUGGAACUUUUUCAGCUCAGUGAUGUUAUUGAUUGAGAUGGAGCAGACAUUGAGACUUGCCACACUCUGCCUUUCAGAAAUGCCCAAGAGCUCUGUGUAUUCCCCCCACCCCUUCCCACAAGCUGGUGGCUGGCUCACAGCAGGGAGGAUCUAGACCCUUCCGGCUACCAGGGUUGGGGCUUGAGCUGGGAGUUGUAUUCAUCUCGGCAGAGCAGCAACCUGCACCCCCUCCCAAAGCUAGUUUCGGCCCCUUUGCUCUGGCAGUGGGCUCCUCACUGCUCAAGGCUGCCUGUACUUCGUAUCGGAUAAUCAAUGCUACCCUUAUCUUUGGAGGAAAUGCUGCCCAGUGAUAUCACACACUGAAUCGAUUAAAAGCAGAACUUUGAACUCAUCUGUUUGGCGAGGUCUCUGUAGAGUGAAUCAUUCAGUCCUCCUUUAAUGCGGUGCUGAUGCCUGCCGGAAACCUCACCUGCAGCUCAGGAGCAGCUCCCUUGCGGAGCCGGGAUAUCCCACAUUUUCACAGGUUGGCUGGGGUAGGAGCCAUAUGAUGUAUUUGUUUACAGUGAGGUCACCUUCUUCAACCUACCCCCCACCCCCAGCUUUUGUUUUUAGCUCACUUCAAACAGAAAAA
Hippopotamus amphibius kiboko is the source of this 2296-nucleotide long non-coding RNA. RefSeq lists it as uncharacterized. The transcript has 4 exons. The record is from RefSeq and is a predicted model, not a curated record. Lineage: Eukaryota; Metazoa; Chordata; Mammalia; Artiodactyla; Hippopotamidae.